CCGAUGGCACAGGACUUUUAGCCAAGCAGAGAACCCCAUGGUCAGACAUAUGGCCCUAGCAACAGAGCUACCUGACGAGCUGCUGUGAGCAUGAUGGAGGGAGGAGGAGGAGGGAGGAGGCGGUAGGCCAGUGUAUUCCCCUCUCUCUCUCUCUCUCUGUUCAUUAGGGAGCAGGUGAGAAACAUUAACAGCAGCAGCUGCACUGCUCUGCACAUGUGGUUGAGGGCUUGAGCUAGUCCACCCCACUUUCUGUCUGUCCACCAGUGGAAACUCACUCCUUUCUGGGAAAUGCCUAGUGUACACCAGUUACCAGGAAUGCAUUUAGUAAAGGUUUCCUGGACACACAUUAAGCCCAGUCCUGUACUAAAUAGCUCUUUAAAUGGAGAUUCUCUAUUAAAUAUGCUUUUUACUUCUGGAAAACUGUCCCAUUGACACUUCAGACAAUCCCAGUUUCUCUGUUAGAGGUGGUUAGAGGAGAAUGAAUCUGUGAUUAUGUGUUUAUGUUUAAUUCUUUCUAAACAAAAGAAAGAAAGUUCCACACUCUGCUCCCACACUCUGCUCCCACACUCUGCUCCCACACUCUGCUCCCACACUCUGCUCCCACACUCUGCUCCCAAAAAUGUAACGAGUAAACAUAACCAACGUUGCAGCAUGCGGAGUUACAACAUUAAUGCUUGAACCAGGUUGCUUUUCACUAUGUUUUUAUCCUAACCAUUUUUCUGUGUUUACUGAGGUGUUGUUGAAGCUGUCUUCCUGACUUAGCUGACUGGGACCAUGGUACUGGAGGACCAGAGUAGACUGACGGGUCUAUCACUGUCCUUUGGGGUGAGGUAGUAGGUUGUAUAGUUUUAGGGUCAUACCCUUCCUGUCAGAUAACUAUACAACUUACUGUCUUUCCUGAGGUGGCUGCAAUAUCAUCCAUCAUCUCUGCAGAGCUCUCGUCACUUGGACCUCAAUAGGAAUAGGUAUUAUGUACUAAUUCAAGUUUAUAACAUGUUUGUAAUGUCAUUUAUAUUGUAUCUAUGCAUCAUUUGGUUCUGUUCUGGCUCUUUGCAUACUAUAUUUAUUAUUUUGCCAUGAAACUGCUCUGCCUCUAUGAUGUUCGCACGGGGUGAGGUAGUAGGUUGUGUGGUUUCAGGGUAGUGAUUUUGCCCCAUCAGGAGAUAACUAUACAAUUUACUGCCUUCCCUGAAGGGCAGCAAGACUUCACCAGACAACAGCAGAGGCCACCAUUGGCACCACAUGAUACUCUAGCAUGGAAAAUAGGUAUUCAUUGAGGUAUCUAGGUAUAAAAUAGUUAUCUAUCUGUUAAUCAGCUCCAGAGGACACAGGAGCAUUUCAGGUAAAGUCUACUGACAAUCUAUGAUUACCAUGUAGCUAACAUGUUAUUGGAUAACUUUGAAAUGGUAUGUUUUCAAAUUAGUAAUAAAAAUUAUUAUUUUAUAAA
Molecule: long non-coding RNA, 1447 nt
Organism: Oncorhynchus tshawytscha (Chinook salmon)
Lineage: Eukaryota; Metazoa; Chordata; Actinopteri; Salmoniformes; Salmonidae
Exons: 2
Source: RefSeq, a predicted model, not a curated record